This 446-nucleotide ribosomal RNA is filed under the name uncultured bacterium. Its description in RNAcentral is "partial 16S ribosomal RNA". It matches the Rfam family "Bacterial small subunit ribosomal RNA", at positions 330 to 792 of the family's 1533-position model. The record is from RNAcentral.
UCCAGACUCCUACGGGAGGCAGCAGUGGGGGAUAUUGCACAAUGGGGGAAACCCUGAUGCAGCGACGCCGCGUGAGUGAAGAAGUAUUUCGGUAUGUAAAGCUCUAUCAGCAGGGAAGAAAAAAGACGGUACCUGACUAAGAAGCCCCGGCUAACUACGUGCCAGCAGCCGCGGUAAUACGUAGGGGGCAAGCGUUAUCCGGAUUUACUGGGUGUAAAGGGAGCGUAGACGGCAAUACAAGUCGGAAGUGAAAUACCCGGGCUCAACCUGGGAAUUGCUUUGGAAACUGUAUGGCUGGAGUGCUGGAGAGGUAAGCGGAAUUCCUAGUGUAGCGGUGAAAUGCGUAGAUAUUAGGAGGAACACCAGUGGCGAAGGCGGCUUACUGGACAGUAACUGACGUUGAGGCUCGAAAGCGUGGGGAGCAAACAGGAUUAGAUACCCGGGUA